GAUGAAGAACGCAGCGAAAUGCGAUAAGUAAUGUGAAUUGCAGAAUUCAGUGAAUCAUCGAAUCUUUGAACGCACAUUGCGCCCGCCAGUAUUCUGGCGGGCAUGCCUGUUCGAGCGUCAUUUCAACCAUCAAGCCCUGCUUGCGUUGGGGUCCUGCGGCUGCCCGCAGGCCCUGAAAACCAGUGGCGGGCUCGCUAGUCACACCGAGCGCAGUAAUACAUCUCGCUUUGGGCGUGCGGCGGGUCCUUGCCGUUAAACACCCCCUUUUUACCAAGGUUGACCUCGGAUCAGGUAGGAAUACCCGCUGAACUUAAGCAUAUCAAUAAGCGGAGGA
RNAcentral lists this unclassified non-coding RNA (334 nucleotides) under soil metagenome. RNAcentral describes it as "partial contains 5.8S ribosomal RNA, internal transcribed spacer 2, and large subunit ribosomal RNA". The stretch from base 1 to 120 matches the Rfam family "5.8S ribosomal RNA", at positions 35 to 154 of the family's 154-position model. The record is from RNAcentral.